This 698-nucleotide ribosomal RNA is filed under the name Pantoea ananatis. Its description in RNAcentral is "bacterial SSU rRNA". It matches the Rfam family "Bacterial small subunit ribosomal RNA", at positions 66 to 758 of the family's 1533-position model. The record is from RNAcentral. Lineage: Bacteria; Pseudomonadati; Pseudomonadota; Gammaproteobacteria; Enterobacterales; Erwiniaceae.
AGAGCACAGAGAGCUUGCUCUCGGGUGACGAGUGGCGGACGGGUGAGUAAUGUCUGGGGAUCUGCCCGAUAGAGGGGGAUAACCACUGGAAACGGUGGCUAAUACCGCAUAACGUCGCAAGACCAAAGAGGGGGACCUUCGGGCCUCUCACUAUCGGAUGAACCCAGAUGGGAUUAGCUAGUAGGCGGGGUAACGGCCCACCUAGGCGACGAUCCCUAGCUGGUCUGAGAGGAUGACCAGCCACACUGGAACUGAGACACGGUCCAGACUCCUACGGGAGGCAGCAGUGGGGAAUAUUGCACAAUGGGCGCAAGCCUGAUGCAGCCAUGCCGCGUGUAUGAAGAAGGCCUUCGGGUUGUAAAGUACUUUCAGCGGGGAGGAAGGCGAUGUGGUUAAUAACCGCAUUGAUUGACGUUACCCGCAGAAGAAGCACCGGCUAACUCCGUGCCAGCAGCCGCGGUAAUACGGAGGGUGCAAGCGUUAAUCGGAAUUACUGGGCGUAAAGCGCACGCAGGCGGUCUGUUAAGUCAGAUGUGAAAUCCCCGGGCUUAACCUGGGAACUGCAUUUGAAACUGGCAGGCUUGAGUCUCGUAGAGGGGGGUAGAAUUCCAGGUGUAGCGGUGAAAUGCGUAGAGAUCUGGAGGAAUACCGGUGGCGAAGGCGGCCCCCUGGACGAAGACUGACGCUCAGGUGCGAAA